Molecule: non-coding RNA, 772 nt
Organism: Styela clava
Lineage: Eukaryota; Metazoa; Chordata; Ascidiacea; Stolidobranchia; Styelidae
Source: RefSeq, a predicted model, not a curated record
CUCUCUUAAACACUCUUAAAAUAAGCAUCCAAACUUUUGCGAUAGUAAAGUACAGUAUAGAAAAAAUUUUUCGGGGAUCAAGGGUCGAGGAAACGUCCAUUGUUACGCCAUAAUUUCCACGCAGGUUUGCGCAUGCGUACGAAAUUUGAAUUUCGCCGCCUUUUACUGCACUCGAGACUACGGAGUUUGCAACUUUGGGUUUCGGGCGAUGUCAGCAUUGAUGACUACAUAUGUUAAGGUAUCAAUGAUGUUAGUCAACUCACAGACAACAGUUAUUAGAAUGUUGUUAGAAUUGUUUGCUGACUGGGCAUGGGAGGGAUAAAAGUCGACAAAUACUGGUACUGCAAUACCGUGAGAUGAUGAUCAAAAUAUACUACAGUACGAUACUAGGCCUAUUAUUACCGAUGAAUCUGCUUUCACAUCAACAAUGAAGAUGCCUUUUUUUGUCCUGAUGUUGGGCUUUUGGAUACAGGCCUAUUUUUGCUGCAGUUAUAGGAUAACGUUACACAAAAACUGCAUAUGAGGCAUGAACAGACCAGUGCCUUUGGAAUACAUUAACAGAUUAUUUGCAGAAUCUGGUGUACAUCCCACAGAGAAAUUAAAAGGACAAGAUUACAACUUGGGUGUGGGGCAUUCAUAGCCAGAUAUUAUCUUUCACAAAUCAGUUAAAUGUAUUUGAACUCUUGUCCUACAGUUUAUCCAUAAUCCAGAUGCCUUGUAAUUUGGGUUAGGCUCCAUGUUACACAUUACUUUUGGUCAAUUUUUCACUUUA